GGAGAUUUUUCUCUAAUUGUGAAGAAACUGCCAGAUGUACUUUUUUUUUUUUUGGCCUCCUCCAGUUCUUCCAGAAGCCCAAGGAAGUUCCAAAGCCCUCUGAAGCCUUGAAGAGACUCUGGGAUCCAGAUGUGUCUCUAGGCAGCAAGUCUGAGGAAACUUUUAGCUGGUAAGCUCUAGGAUGCAGAGCUCUUGAGGUGGGUAGGGUAGGGCUCACUGCUGAUAUCAAUGCAAUGCUUUAGAAGCUUUCCUGUACUGCACCAAGGGUACCUUCUAGGCUCCAAUACCCUUACAAUUCAUACUCAUUGGUACUGAGUCCCUUACUUUGAGCCAUAUACAAAUCUAUUUCUCUCCACAUCUCUGAUCAUCCUCACCUCUUGAUCCAAUACUCAUUCUCCCAUUGCCUCUUCCCCUACCCUUCAGACUUGGCAUUGCUUCUCUAGAUAGGAACUUCUUUCCCUCCCUAAAUGCUAUAUAGAAUCUUGAUGUAGAGUCACUCUCUUAACCACAGUUCAUAAACCAAUCAUUCGAGUCUGGCCCAGCCCCUGGAACCUGAUGCCUCAAGAUUUCUCAACAUGAGCAUCAUUUCCUUUGAAUUUGCUGUGACCCCUUAUCAGGAUAUAAAUAUCAUAACAUUGGUAUAGAUCUAUCAAGCCUUUGUGUAAGUCCCUUAGUCUCAUACCUAACCUAGGUAAACUGAAUUGAGAUGCUUUCUUCUCGUGCACGUUCUGUACUGUACUUACUGUUUGUUUGUGGGAGAGUGGCUUCUCUUUCAGUAUGCUUCCCCUAAGUAUCCCAGCAUUAAUACUUGUAUCAGUUAUGAGAAAUUAGGUUAUGCUGCAGUAAUAAAGGACCCCAAAACACUAAUUUAUUAGAAUAUUAAAGUAUUAUUUCAACACACUCAACAUGUCUAACUUGGAUUUGCUGUGAUUCUGUUCCAUGUCAUCCUCAUCUCAAGAUUCCAGCUGAUGGAGUAGCUUCUAUUUGGAACAUUGCCAUCAUUUGGGGAAACCAAAUCGUGUGUCCAUGUUUCCUUCAACAAGAUAGGAAUGUAUAACUCUCCCACAAAGAAGGGGCCUUGCAGGGUAGGUUACCAAAUGCAAAUGAGCAGUAAUGUGAUCUGCCACAUAUAGAAGCAGGUUGCUACAACUAUAGGAAAGACUCUAACGCAGACUUAGAAAUUCUUCAGAUUCCUAAUGCAAGAAGCUCAACUUCUGGCUUUCCAUAUCUCCAAAUUACACAAAAAGUGGUAAAAUCCAGUGAUUCACAAAUUGUAGUUUUUAAGUCAAUAGGGAGGUAGGUUUGCACCUCAUUUUUUAAAGAAUCCUUAUUUCAGAAUCUCUUUGACAAAGGAUAGUGACUAUUAGAGGGA
Molecule: long non-coding RNA, 1372 nt
Filed under: Equus caballus (horse)
Lineage: Eukaryota; Metazoa; Chordata; Mammalia; Perissodactyla; Equidae
Description: lncRNA (ENSECAG00000056562.1)
Source: RNAcentral